AAGUCGUAACAAGGUUUCCGUAGGUGAACCUGCGGAAGGAUCAUUAGUGAUUGCCCUCUGGGCUUAAAACUAUAUCCAUAUACACCUGUGAACCGUUUGAUUGACUCUUUAUUGAGUUGAUUUUACAAACAUUGUGUAAUGAACGUCUAGUUAUUAUAACAAAAAUAACUUUCAACAACGGAUCUCUUGGCUCUC
Molecule: unclassified non-coding RNA, 195 nt
Filed under: fungal sp.
Lineage: Eukaryota; Fungi
Description: partial internal transcribed spacer region
Rfam family: Eukaryotic small subunit ribosomal RNA (bases 1-46)
Source: RNAcentral